AUUCUCAGGGGCUCCCGAGUGUGGGGAGGGCGGCUCAGCAGGAGCUGCUGCUUCCCAGAAAGUUGAUUAUUUUUAACCCAGGAAGAAGAAAGGAAGGAGGCGAGGGAGAAGGACUCAGAGAAAAGAGGAGAGGAAAAGAGAGGAGAGGAGAGGAAAGAAAAGCAAGGUCUCGCUGUGUUACCCUGGCUGGAGUGCAGUGGCUACUUACAGGCAUGAUCAUAGCAUACUGCAGCCUCGAACUCCUGGACUAGAGCAGUUCUCCUGCCUCAGCCUCCAGAGCAGCUGGGACUGCAGACACGCACCACAGAGCCCAGCCUGAGUCAUUUUGAUUCUGUAACUGGCUUCCUCUCGGCGGGCAGGCUCACACCCUCCACCCCCAGCUGGAGAUGGAAGGAGGAUGCUCACCGCCCAUUCCUCAUGCAGGCCAUCGAUGGAAAUGUCAGACAGUGCGAGUCCACGCCUGAACACUUCUGGGGUCCGCUCUGGGACUGACACUGGCAGAUCCAUCGGUGAGCUCCCGCCUGCCACCUCUGGGCCUGCAUUGCGGUGAUAGGGCCAAGGGCCUGGGCCUUCAAUUCUCCAGACUUGCCAAAAUGCUCAGCGCAGGCCUCGUCGGCAACUGCAGACAAGCAGAGGCAGCACCUGGGCUCUGCCUGUGCCUGGCACAGUGAAGCGAGGGUGGGGGCAGGAAUGAGGGUCCUCUCCAUGCAAGGGGGGAAGAUAGAAGAACAAAAUUUCACCCUAAUGUAGUGUCUUUAGACCGUGCAAUGUUGUGCUCCUGUUAGUCUGAUAUCAGGGGCUUGCAGCCUGGCAAAGGAAAAAAAACAGGCUGAGGCACAUGAUAGAAGACAGGCAGGGAUGCCACAAUCAUAACCAUGGCAAAGACCAGGAUCAGAAAGGCCCACCAUCUCUGACCCCAAAUCCCUGGGCAGAUGGUUCCAGAACUCAGAAUUUUCCCAGUUGUAGAAAGAUGGGGCCAGGUGCAGUGGCUCACGCCUGUAAUCCCAGCAUUUUGGGAGUACAAGGUGGGCGGAUCACCUGAGGUCAGGAGUUCGAGACCAGCCUGGCCAACAUGGUGAAACCCUGUCUCUACUAAAAAAAAAAAAAAAAA
Molecule: long non-coding RNA, 1111 nt
Filed under: Homo sapiens (human)
Lineage: Eukaryota; Metazoa; Chordata; Mammalia; Primates; Hominidae
Description: long intergenic non-protein coding RNA 963
Source: RNAcentral